GUCUGAUUCAGCCAUGCCAACUGAGGUUACCAAAGCAUUGGACGCAACAGGAUCGGAUUCAAACAUUCCAACUGACGUUACCACAGCAUGGAACGCAACAGCUCCGAGUUGGCAAUCAAUCGUUAGAACUGAAGCCACCACACCAAUAAAUGCAUCAU
Molecule: long non-coding RNA, 158 nt
Organism: Ixodes scapularis (black-legged tick)
Lineage: Eukaryota; Metazoa; Arthropoda; Arachnida; Ixodida; Ixodidae
Exons: 3
Source: RefSeq, a predicted model, not a curated record